GGCCGCGGGAAUUCGAUUGAGUUUGAUCCUGGCUCAGGACGAACGCUGGCGGCGUGCCUAAUACAUGCAAGUCGAACGGAGAUAUUCGCUGAUGAAGUACUUCGGUAAUGAAUCUUGGAUAUCUUAGUGGCGGACGGGUGAGUAACGCGUGAGCAACCUGCCUUUCAGAGGGGGAUAACGUUUGGAAACGAACGCUAAUACCGCAUGACAUUAUCUUAUCGCAUGGUAGGAUAAUCAAAGGAGCAAUCCGCUGAAAGAUGGGCUCGCGUCCGAUUAGGUAGUUGGUGGGGUAACGGCCCACCAAGCCGACGAUCGGUAGCCGGACUGAGAGGUUGGACGGCCACAUUGGGACUGAGACACGGCCCAGACUCCUACGGGAGGCAGCAGUAAGGGAUAUUGGUCAAUGGGGGAAACCCUGAACCAGCAACGCCGCGUGAGGGAAGACGGUUUUCGGAUUGUAAACCUCUGUCCUCUGUGAAGAUGAUGACGGUAGCAGAGGANGAAGCUCCNGCUAACUACGUGCCAGCAGCCGCGGUAAUACGUAGGGAGCGAGCGUUGUCCGGAUUAACUGGGUGUAAAGGGUGCGUAGGCGGCUUGGCCAGUCAUUAAUGAAAUCCAUGGGCCUUACCCAUGAACUGCUAUUGAACUGUCAAGUUUGAUUGAAUUAAAAGUAAGCGGAUUUCCCGUGUUACCGUGAAAUGCUUAAAAUUGGGAAGGA
This 718-nucleotide ribosomal RNA is filed under the name uncultured bacterium. RNAcentral's name for it is "partial 16S ribosomal RNA". It matches the Rfam family "Bacterial small subunit ribosomal RNA", at positions 1 to 705 of the family's 1533-position model. The record is from RNAcentral.